Molecule: non-coding RNA, 25 nt
Filed under: Cricetulus griseus (Chinese hamster)
Lineage: Eukaryota; Metazoa; Chordata; Mammalia; Rodentia; Cricetidae
Source: RNAcentral
CCUCCUAAACCACAGAGAAACCCUG